This 247-nucleotide long non-coding RNA is filed under the name Mytilus galloprovincialis (Mediterranean mussel). The record is from RNAcentral. Lineage: Eukaryota; Metazoa; Mollusca; Bivalvia; Mytilida; Mytilidae.
UAUGAGGUAUAUUUUAUACCACUAUUCCUCAAUCCUGUGUCUAAACAAAAACAAGGAGCAGGGGCGGAUCCAGCCAUUUUCAAAAGGGCAUUAAGAGAGGGACGAAAGAUACCAAAGGGACAGUCAAACUCAUAAAUCUAAAACAAACUGACAACGCCAUGGCUAAAAAUGAAAAAGACAAACAGAAAAACAAUAGUACACAUGACACAACAUAGAAAACUAAAGAAUAAACAACACGAACCCCACC